This is a non-coding RNA of Podarcis lilfordi (Lilford's wall lizard), 79 nucleotides long. Lineage: Eukaryota; Metazoa; Chordata; Lepidosauria; Squamata; Lacertidae. The record is from the annotation of a GenBank genome assembly.
GACCCUUCUAUAAGUCACACUGGGUCAGUGCACUUGGCUGUGAACCAGAAGGUUGGUGGUUCAAGCCCACCCAGGGACA